Molecule: ribosomal RNA, 253 nt
Filed under: uncultured bacterium
Lineage: Bacteria
Description: partial 16S ribosomal RNA
Rfam family: Bacterial small subunit ribosomal RNA
Source: RNAcentral
UACGAAGGGGGCUAGCGUUGCUCGGAAUCACUGGGCGUAAAGGGUGCGUAGGCGGGUCUUUAAGUCCGGGGUGAAAUCCUGGAGCUCAACUCCAGAACUGCCUUUGAUACUGAGGAUCUUGAGUUCGGGAGAGGUGAGUGGAACUGCGAGUGUAGAGGUGAAAUUCGUGGAUAUUCGCAAGAACACCAGUGGCGAAGGCGGCUCACUGGCCCGAUACUGACGCUGAGGCACGAAAGCGUGGGGAGCAAACAGG